UGUAGGAUGGUAUAGUGGUAGCACUGUCGUCUGUCACAUGGAGGACCCGAGUUUGAAUCCUGGUCUCCCAU
This is a non-coding RNA of Danionella cerebrum, 71 nucleotides long. NCBI's taxonomy places the organism in Eukaryota, Metazoa, Chordata, Actinopteri, Cypriniformes, Danionidae. The record is from the annotation of a GenBank genome assembly.